GAAUGCUGACAUAAGUAACGAUAAAGCGGGUGAAAAGCCCGCUCGCCGGAAGACCAAGGGUUCCUGUCCAACGUUAAUCGGGGCAGGGUGAGUCGACCCCUAAGGCGAGGCCGAAAGGCGUAGUCGAUGGGAAACGGGUUAAUAUUCCCGUACUUGGUGUUACUGCGAAGGGGGGACGGAGAAGGCUAUGUUGGCCGGGCGACGGUUGUCCCGGUUUAAGCGUGUAGGUGUGUGUUCCAGGUAAAUCCGGUUCACUUUAACACUGAGGCGUGACGACGAGGCACUACGGUGCUGAAGCAACAAAUGCCCUGCUUCCAGGAAAAGCCUCUAAGCAUCAGGUAACAUCAAAUCGUACCCCAAACCGACACAGGUGGUCAGGUAGAGAAUACCAAGGCGCUUGAGAGAACUCGGGUGAAGGAACUAGGCAAAAUGGUGCCGUAACUUCGGGAGAAGGCACGCUGACACGUAGGUGAAGUGAUUUACUCAUGGAGCUGAAGUCAGUCGAAGAUACCAGCUGGCUGCAACUGUUUAUUAAAAACACAGCACUGUGCAAACACGAAAGUGGACGUAUACGGUGUGACGCCUGCCCGGUGCCGGAAGGUUAAUUGAUGGGGUCAGCGCAAGCGAAGCUCCUGAUCGAAGCCCCGGUAAACGGCGGCCGUAACUAUAACGGUCCUAAGGUAGCGAAAUUCCUUGUCGGGUAAGUUCCGACCUGCACGAAUGGCGUAAUGAUGGCCAGGCUGUCUCCACCCGAGACUCAGUGAAAUUGAACUCGCUGUGAAGAUGCAGUGUACCCGCGGCAAGACGGAAAGACCCCGUGAACCUUUACUAUAGCUUGACACUGAACAUUGAGCCUUGAUGUGUAGGAUAGGUGGGAGGCUUUGAAGUGUGGACGCCAGUCUGCAUGGAGCCGACCUUGAAAUACCACCCUUUAAUGUUUGAUGUUCUAACGUGGACCCGUUACCCGGGUUGCGGACAGUGUCUGGUGGGUAGUUUGACUGGGGCGGUCUCCUCCUAAAGAGUAACGGAGGAGCACGAAGGUUGGCUAAUCCUGGUCGGACAUCAGGAGGUUAGUGCAAUGGCAUAAGCCAGCUUGACUGCGAGCGUGACGGCGCGAGCAGGUGCGAAAGCAGGUCAUAGUGAUCCGGUGGUUCUGAAUGGAAGGGCCAUCGCUCAACGGAUAAAAGGUACUCCGGGGAUAACAGGCUGAUACCGCCCAAGAGUUCAUAUCGACGGCGGUGUUUGGCACCUCGAUGUCGGCUCAUCACAUCCUGGGGCUGAAGUAGGUCCCAAGGGUAUGGCUGUUCGCCAUUUAAAGUGGUACGCGAGCUGGGUUUAGAACGUCGUGAGACAGUUCGGUCCCUAUCUGCCGUGGGCGCUGGAGAACUGAGGGGGGCUGCUCCUAGUACGAGAGGACCGGAGUGGACGCAUCACUGGUGUUCGGGUUGUCAUGCCAAUGGCACUGCCCGGUAGCUAAAUGCGGAAGAGAUAAGUGCUGAAAGCAUCUAAGCACGAAACUUGCCCCGAGAUGAGUUCUCCCUGAGACUUAGAGUCUCCUGAAGGAACGUUGAAGACGACGACGUUGAUAGGCCGGGUG
RNAcentral lists this ribosomal RNA (1597 nucleotides) under Salmonella enterica subsp. enterica serovar Enteritidis. Its description in RNAcentral is "partial 23S ribosomal RNA". It matches the Rfam family "Bacterial large subunit ribosomal RNA", at positions 1292 to 2867 of the family's 2925-position model. The record is from RNAcentral. Lineage: Bacteria; Pseudomonadati; Pseudomonadota; Gammaproteobacteria; Enterobacterales; Enterobacteriaceae.